CCUACGGGAGGCAGCAGUGGGGGAUAUUGCACAAUGGGGGAAACCCUGAUGCAGCGACGCCGCGUGUGGGAAGACGGUCCUCUGGAUUGUAAACCACUGUCCCCAGGGACGAAGAUGACGGUACCUGGGGAGGAAGCUCCGGCUAACUACGUGCCAGCAGCCGCGGUAAUACGUAGGGAGGGAGCGUUGUCCGGAAUUACUGGGUGAAAAGGGAGCGUAGGCGGGACUGCAAGUUGGGUGUCAAAUCUACCGGCUCAACCGGGAACCGCACUCAAAACUGCAGGUCUUGAGUGAAGUAGAGGCAGGCGGAAUUCCUAGUGUAGCGGUGAAAUGCGUAGAUAUUAGGAGGAACACCAGUGGCGAAGGCGGCCUGCUGGGCUUUUACUGACGCUGAGGCUCGAAAGUGUGGGGAGCAAACAGGAUUAGAUACCCCGGUAGUC
Molecule: ribosomal RNA, 440 nt
Filed under: uncultured bacterium
Lineage: Bacteria
Description: partial 16S ribosomal RNA
Rfam family: Bacterial small subunit ribosomal RNA
Source: RNAcentral